CAACACCAUCGAUAAUCACCAGGAACCCACGAACAACUUCAGCUCCAACCUAAUUCCAGUCAGCUUCAACCCACCAAAAUACCCUGUUUCUCCUCUCCCUUAGUCUAAUCAUACUUUUUAUAUGAGUAGCAUGUGGUUUCGUACCAUGGGGGUUCCGAGAAUCUUCUAAAAGAUGUGUAGGUGUCCCUUAAAUGAAUAAAUUCAGCAUAUUUCAGGGUACUCGUAUGUUUUUGUACAUUAUUUGGCUAUUUCUAAUUGGUUGGGGGAGAGAAUCCAUUUUUCCUAAACCUAAUUGGUCCACUCACUUGGCGUUUCUGCUAGAAAAUCCAAGAAUAGGGACAGGGUUAAGGAGGAAAACGGGACUGUGGGAGGGGGAAUUUUGAAUUUUGAAUUUCUCCCCCUUUUUAAAAUCCCUCAAUUACCCUCAAUUGGUCUCUAUAAAGAGCUCACUGAUGAGCUGGGAAAAGGGUUUUUUUUUAUUUGUUAGUAGUCUUAAAAGGUUGGAGAUUCUAGGGGGUUAGGGUUCUUUCGUAGAAAUUUUGGGGGUUUUCCUCUCUUUCUGGGUGGGGAUUGAAGCUCUAAGUGUAUUUUUAUGAAAAUUUUAUCGUCUUUUUUUUUUGGGAAGCUAGUCGAACAAUUGGGAAUAUCCGAGUUGACAAUAUCAAGCUCCCAGCGAUGACAACUUUGCUGAUAGCUCGUCUGUCCUGUUUGCUGCCCUCACAGAGGUAUAUACAUUCUAUUCUCCUCUUAGUUUGACCAUUUUCUUCCUUAUCUCUUUUAUUUGUACCUGCAGUCAUGAUCAUAAUCUUAUCUUACAUAGGAGUAAUUGCUAUAGUCCCCAGCAGGAUCUUGAUUUAUCUGGAAAUUAUUUGUUGUAAAGGCCUCAGAAGCCAUAGAUUUUUUAGUAAAAGUAGCAUCAGGUUUGUUUUAUCAUGUCAGAUAAUCUUUGUCAUAGUGGUAAGAUGUAGGAUUUCUGUUGGUUUUGCCUCGAUACUAAAAUUCAUCGCGUAUUGUUGAUAUUGUUGAUGAAUUUGUAACUCAACUCUAUUGCUUGAGAUGAAUAGUUGGUUCUGUGAUAAAGAUUCAUGUUUUGAUUUUGUUUGUGGGCUUUUGGUGUCUCUUUAAGCUAUUUUCAUAAUAAAGCCUCUUGCUUCGAGUUUGUUGAAUAGUUUUGGGUUAAUGUCAUCUCAUGGUAGCUAGUUUUGGAGUAAAGAUGAGUGCUUUGAGCGAGUUUAAUAGAUUUUGGGUUACUAGUAUUUUGUUAAGGAUGUUUACACCGUAAUGAUUCAAACUUUGGGUCUGCUUAAUGAUUUUUGGCUAACGAUGUGUCGUUAUAGCUGGUUUUGGUGCCAAGGUCUCAAGUUUUAAUCUCUAUUUAAUAGUUUCAGGUUGUUGUGUCCGAUCUAGCUGACUCUAUGUCAAAGUUCUAUGGUAAAAGGCCUAAAUAGGCAUAUAUUAGCACAAAUUGAUUUCUUAUUUGUAAGUCAAAAGAUGUAUGUGCAAACGUAUUAAGUAACGUGAAGUCUUUGCCUGGUAUAACAUGAUGCUUUUCCUGAAUUAAAAUAAGGUGGUUGUAUCGAACUAAGGUCCGGUGGGAAAAUAAAGUUUAUGAUUUGUACGUCUAGAAGCUUGAUUUGAGAGUGUUCUAUGAUGUUAAUUGUAUCCUGUUUAAAUUCAUUUGAGUGGUGAUGGUUUGCUUAGCUUGCAUUAUAAUAAGAACGAGUUGGAGACACUGUAAACUGCUAGGAUUAUUUUAUGGUGCCUGUUCUCAUACGUUGAACCUGCUUUGCUAUUAGUAUUAAACCUAUUCUACUACCCGUUAGUUCGGUUGGAUAUUUUCAGAAGAUUUGAACUAGACUUGCAUUUUAUGGUGCCAUUCCUGAUCUGUCUUGAGCGUGCCCAUCCCUAUCAUAUCCUGCUCUUUUAGUUCUUACUAUCACACCCUCCUCAAAUUAGUUUGUUCUCUAAUGGGCUGAACAUUAUUUAGAAUACGCUAAUUUCGUGUUUGUUGUUGGAUUUCCAUGUAUGCUUCAUAGUGAGAAAUUUCCUUUGUUAGACUAGUUUUUGCAUGCUUUUUACCUGUUUAAAUAUUUAGUGCAAGACAUAUGUUAAUUACUUUCUUGUUUCUCUUUCUUUUUAUUUUGCAUGGGGACACGCUCGAGUCCUUUGUGACACAUUUCCCUUUGCAUAUUCACUAUGGGCCAUUGAGGCCCAUCUAGCUUGAGUUAAUUUUUUUUUGAAGACUUUUCCUAAAGAUAGUCAUAUUGCAUGGAUACAAGGAGACAAAAAAAAUAAGCUGAAGUCCCAUAUCUGAAGCGGCUAAAAAAUUUUAGGAUUCUCAUUUAUUUACUCAUUUAAUUAUCCAUUGUCGUCUCAUGUAUUCAUUUAUUUAUAGUUUUGUUUGUUUAUCUUAUUCAUUUGGGCCUCGAAGUCAAAGUUGUACUUAAUACAGGUGAUGCGAGACUCGAGCUAAAAAGCUCAAAAACAUAGAGUUAGGACAGGUGAAAACGGGUCAAAAACUCAACUAGAUUAGGACAGGAUCGAUGGAUUGGGAUAAAAAACCUAAAUCACUACUUCCCCGCUUUUCCCCUUUUCCUUUCAUUUACUUGUUUAUUUGUCUCUUUGUGAACCUAGUUAAAUCCCUAAGUAAAUCGCUAAAAAACUGAUUUUGCAAAACCUUUCCCUUAACCAAUUAAUUUUCCAACAAACCGAUUUUCAAUAAAGUUAGUCAAAAGACGUUUUCAAAUAGUUUGGAUAACCGCAGUUAGUGGACGUUUUAGGUGCCUAACCCUUUCCUAAAACAUUAAUAGGAAUCGCUUAUCUUCGAUUUUUCUAUUUUAAAUCGUUUGAAGUGACUCUCUAAAGGUUUCUUAAUUCCUUUUCAAAAUUAAGUGGCCACUCUCAAAAGUCAAAGUUUCUCCGCAAAACACUCAUGACGCAACCCCCAGAAACAGAAAUGGACCUCACAUCACGCCUCUCAGAAAUGGGAAUGGAUCUCACGUCAUGAGCUUAUCGUGAGACCUUACUGCCUCACAUAAAAAAUAACAUAAUCUUUUACUCAGGUAUCAGAUUAAUGCAAAAUUGGUAUCGUUGGAAGGAUAAUUCAAUUAUUUAUAAUUUAGUGGGUCUUAAUCUGCCAAAUUCUUUAUAUAUAAAAAGUUUUACUCAUUCAAUGAUGACUCUUGUAGAAUUGAAUGCUAAACUUUGGACAAAUGAAAGGCUCUUAGCUCAACUUCGCUCUAAGUGAUUUAUUUGAGCAUUUUCACCUAAAAAAUACUCCACAUACUAGGAUAACGGUUCAAAGACUAGCUAGGAAAUGCAGGGUGUUAUAGGAUGGGUGUUUCUAAAGGUGUCUCCCGUGAAGAAAGUAAUGUGGUUUGAGAAAAAGGGAAAGAUUAGUACCCGUUAUGUUAGUUCUUAUGUAGUUUUGAGGAGGGUUGGUAAUGUUGCAUAUGAAUUGGAGUUACCUUUUAGUUUAAGCUCCAUUUAUUCGGUAUUCCAUGUCUCUAUGUUGAGAAAAUAUAUGGGUGAUCUUUCAUUGGUUGUUCCUUUGGGAUGAUUGGGUAUCUUAAAUUCUCUGUCUUGUGAAGAGAUCCCAGUUGAUAUCUUGGAUCGGUAGGUUCAUUGGUUGUAUACCAAGGAUAUACCUUCAGUUGAGAUUCUAUGGCAGAACCUUAAGGUGGAAGAAGCUACUUGGAAAGUGGAAGAGAACAUGAAGUCCAAGUAUCCGUAUUUGUUUUCUUCUCUAGAUAUUUGAGGAAGGUAUGUGUUCUUGAUCACAUCUUUGUUUUCUAACUUGGUUAAAGGAAGGUUAAUUUCCAUGCAUCUUUGUUUUCUAACUUAGUUAAAGGUUGGAAUGGUAUAUGUUGGGGUGUAAGUUGGAAUGGUAUAUGUUGGGGUGUAAUUCAUGCUUGUACUACCUUCUCCAUCAUCUAGGGAUAAAUUAUCCUAGUGGGGGAGACUAAAACACCCUGGGUUUAGACCCUUAGAAAAUUUCUCUAUUUUUUGCUUUUGGAUAUCAUAUGACUUGGUGUACUAGUCGUAUGAUGUUGUAUGAUUUGGUGGAUCAUGGUUGUACGGUAACCCGUGAAAGCUGGUUGGCUUAUGUUAAAGGCACGAUUGGAUCAUACUAGUCGUACCUUAGGGUACUAGUGGUAAGAUAUCAAUUGUAUGUUACCUAAGUUAAGUCUAGGUGAUUCUAUUUUGUCAAGGGUACGGUUUUAUGGUAAUAAUCAUAUGUUUGGGUACAGUUUGGAUGGGGAGGUCAUAUUUUGGAUAGUGUUGGGGUCCAAGGGGAGGCCUAAGAUACAAGUUAAAGAUACCACUCGUACCCUAGGGUACGGUUGGGGUGGGAUGGUCGUACCAUCCUGCGGGAAUUAUAGGCAGUUUAGCUUGGGGUAAUAUGGAUAUUUCCCCUCUUAACCUCUUAAGGGCCCAAGACUUAUAUCACUCUUGGGACAUCAUUUAACCUAUUUGUAAUCACUCAAACUCUCUUAAGAUAAUCUCAAAUUCUCUCAAGGCUCUUGGGUCAAGGAAAGCUAGGGUUCAAUUAAUAAGAUCAAUUUGGGGGUUACAAGGGUGAUUUCUCUUUUUCAUCUUCUUAAUUAAAGGCAUGUUACUCCUCCCUCAUUGUUAGUUCCAACUAAAGGAAUAUUUUAUGAAUUGUUUUCAUGGCAUAAAUGUUGUAUGGUUUUGGGUUUUUGAAUAUUGAUAACGCUCAACUUAUACGUCAAUUUAAGUGCAAGGCGGUCGUUGUUAAUAUAUUUACUAACUAGGAGUUGGGGCUGAAUCCACGAGGAACUCCGAAAUAAUAGUUGUUCGCUCGGGUCAAACCUAAGGUACAAAAUAGUUUGGGGGGAGAGUUCAAUUUUGUUAAAUGUAAAGGCAAUUCUUGGGCCUCUAAGGGACUAAUUCGAGACUAAGAAUAUUUAGAGUAUAAUCAAUUAAAUUGGAUCUUGGGACUAUGCUUUCCUAAGGGUAAGUUAUGUAUGGGAACAUGAUAAUUUGAUACAAAUUCUAAUCGUUGAUGAUGUGGUAGGCUAGGUCUAAAGUCCUUGAGGUUAGUUCUUUAAGAAAACCUCAAAGAUGUCACUCAUUGACUCUUUUGAGUAUCUAACGAGUGUGUCAAUUAAAGCUACCCAAUACCUCAAUUAGGUACCUCUAUUUCAAGGUAUAGUCAACCUCAUAUUCACCCUUAUGUCUAAGAUGGUGAAAAAUAUCAAACUAAGCCCAAUAAUUUUCUAUUUGAUGCAAGUAUCAAGCCCUCAAGGCCAGUCACCCGAAGCCAAGCUAAGGAUUUACAACAUCUUUAAGCCUUGUUCAUGCAAAUAGGAGCUUAUGAGAGCAUGAUGCCUUCAACCAAGGGAGUAUACUUGCUUAACUAUGAAGAAGAGGAACCUUUAAAGCCUUUUAUUUCCUAUAUUACAUGGGCGCCUCAACUAAGGGCAUGGAGAUCUUUUUGAACUCUCUUUUUACACUCCAAAGGAGCACACUUUAUUAAGGGUAUUUUAGUCAUUAUCUUGUAAUAGUAUAAAUAGAUAUUUUAGCUCUUAUUUUCAUUAGUUUUUAAUGAAUUGUCGAGUGAUACUCUCAUAUUUUAGUUGUAACUCUUGGUAAAGACAUUGAAACUAGGGUUAACCUUGUGUUGAUAUUUUGGCAAGAAAGGUGAGUGCUUGAGGACAUUGAUCCCUUUGUGUUCACCUAAGAGUAUGGUAUUAUCCAUCAUUGGUGUUGUGUGUAUUGGUUUUUUAUACACACCUUGGUGCUAUUCAUUAGUGUUGGUGUAUGUCUCAUUACUAUCUUUUCACCUUAAUGCAAUUUCUCUUCCUUUUGUGUUAAAUUUGAUUGUUGCUUAUGUGUUCUACUUCAUCUCCUUUCCUGUAGUUGCUAGUUUUUGUUUCUUUUAGGCUUUAAUUUUUUUUUAGUAGCUUAGUCUCUCAUCAUUUGGUAUCAAGAUCCAUGUAUUAGAGUUGUUCUCACAACUCUAAGUCUUGGGUCUAAAAAAUUCUCCACAAAAAAGAGUCUAGAGUCAAGAAAAAUCACAAAAAAGUAGUAUCUUAUGUUGAAGUUGUAGAUCCGAACCUUAUAAGCUAGAUAUACACGUUUUUAUUUUUUAUUUUGUUGGUUUCUAGUGCUAGAUCCUUGUUCCCUAGCACCUAAAGAGUCUAGAUCUAAGUUUGAAACAAGAUUUGGUUGUUUUUUAGCUAGAUCCACCAUUGUUGUGGCAUUUUUGAAGCUUUUGUGAAGGUGGUAAUGUGUGGUUUUGUGUUAUCUUGGGCGUUUGUGGCUGAUUUGUUGCUAUUUGUGCUUGGCUUGGGAAAAGGAACCUAGAUCUAAAGGAAAAAUUGAAUUUAGGGUUCAUUUGCCUAGUGGUCAAACCUUGGUCAACUCUUGAAUAUUCAUUUUGUUCAUCCAUCAUCUUUAAAUCUUGUUGAAGAAGAAUAUUCAAGUAGCUUAUUUGAUCCAAAAGGAGGGAAUAAAGAGAGUGUACUAAGUGUUUGUACAAGAAUAUUCCCUAGCAUAUUCUAAGUCAUCCUAAAGGAAGAGGGGACAAGGGGAUAAGCAAGUACAAUUGAAAGUACACUUGAGGGGACCAAUCCAUUUCAAAUUCAAUUUGAAGCUCAAAAAGGCUCCAAACUUGCAUAUUUCCCCCUCAAAACCAAAAUUCUUCUUCUCCUUAAGUGUUGUUUGGCCGAGACAAAAAUUGGUGAAUUGAAAAUUUUGAAAAAGUGACGUUCAACCAAAUUAUGCCAUGUCAUCACUUUAAUGAACAACCAAAUUGAGUUCUUACCAAGAUUUCUAAGUUUCUAUUUGUUGUUUAUAGUUUCUUUUGUGUUGAUUCUACCACUAAUUAGCAAACUAGUAACUACCUACUAGGUUGAUAAUUAGUUUAGAGUUCUUUUGUUUAGUGUCAUCGUUGUUUGUGCUUUUCUCAUUUGUAAUUCAUUGUAACUUGUUGGUUCAAGUCCAUAAGAAAUUUUCUUUGAGUCAUAUCAAAUUAAAUUCCAUUCCAAGCCAAAGUAGAAUCAUCCCUCACUCACUUUCCAAGUACAUACCAAGGUAUCAACACUUGAGAAAUUAAGUGUGAGGUAAGAGUUGAGUGUGAGACUGGUGAGGAUUAUUUGAACUAACUUGUUUACUCGUUUUGUGAGUUCUUUUCUUUACUUAUUAUUCUAGGUACUAGUCUAUGGAACCCACGGGUUCUAUUUCUUAAGUUGUGGAUAACAAUGUCAUGGAAGGGUUCAAGGCUACUCUUGAGGCUCUCAAUCGAACCAUUGUAAAAUUUGGAUCAGAUUUGGGAUAAGUGAAGGAAGAUAUGGCUUCAAUUAAAGGGAAAGUGUCCACACUUAGUAGUAGACUUGAUCAAGUUGAGAGCCAAAGGAGCUCCCAACCUUCUACUCCUCACCCCUACCAUAUGUCUUCUUGUGUCCAAUCUCACAACUCCUCUAUGACCAUUACCUCUGAAACCUUACAUUAAAUGCUAUAUCCCACAAAACCUCCAUAAAAUACCACCCAAACCUCAACUCACUCCCAAACCCAAGACUCCAUUAGACCUUUGCAUCCUUAUUUCACCGAAGUCCAACAAGAGGGACUUAGGAACCAAAUACCAUUCCAAAAGCCAAAUACCCUACCACAAAAGCAAGUUCCAAAUCCAUUUGAACAAAGAUCUCCUCCUCCAUAAGAACCAAUCCCUCAAGCUCAAGUACCAAAUAACCAAAGACCUCAUCUUCCUUUCCAAAUGUAACAAAACCAAAACCAACUACUACAAUCUCUAAAAAACUGAAACCAACCAAUCCAUGUUGAAGACUAUGGCAGAGGGGAGCAACAAGGUUAUGAUGUUCCUAAUGAUGACUAUUGGUUUGAGGAAGAAAUGAGGGAAAUGCAUGAUAAAAAAGGGCAUUAUGGAAGAAACCGAGGGUAAGAAGGAAGACAAGGAAACCGUGAGGUGGGCAUCAAUUCAAUCAAGUUUGGUAUUCCAAUCUUUAAAAGUGAGAGUGAUCCAGAAAUGUAUCUUUCUUUGGAAUCUUCUUGUUAAAAACUUUUUCAAGUGAAUGAUCUUUUUGAAGAGAAGAGAAAUUGUUGUGCUAUUUCUUACUUUGAAGGAUAUGCAAACACUUGGUGGGAUUAUACAAACAGGUUUGGUAAUGUAUUGACUGGUGGCCAAUCACCUCCUUGGGAGAUGUUGAAGAGACUAAUGAGAGAAAGAUAUGUACUAGAGAAUUAUAGGCAUGAGAUCCUUGCCAAGAUUUACAACUUAAGGCAAGGAAGAAAGAGUGACAUGGCAUAUUAUGCUGAAUUCCAACAACUCAUUUUGAAGCUUGAUCAUAGGGGUGAACAAGUGCAUAAUGUUGUCAUUCGUUUCAAAGUUGGAUUGAAUAAAGCCAUCCCGUUUGACUCUUCACAAGUUUAAAACCAUUGAUGGUAUCUUCAAAACAGCUAUGGAUAUUGAAAAAGAGAAUAAAGAGAAGUCGGCCUGCAAGCUCAAAAGUCACCAAGCCUCGGGUUUGCCAAGAAGUAAAGAGGUAACUCACUUGUCUUCGGGUUGGAACAAAAACAAAGCUCCUUCAUCUUAUUCUUCUCAACCCAUAACCAAGCAUUUUCAACACUAACCUCCAAGGUUGAAAGGUAAGCCGAAUCCUCUCCCUCUCUCUUCUAAAGGUUUUCAAUGUUUCAAGUGCCAAGGUUGGGGACAUAGAGCAAGUGAAUGCUCUAACUGAAGGAAUGUGAUUCUAAGAGAGGGGAAGUUGCACUACCUAGGAGAGAAAGUGUUGAUGGAACCCAAAAAUGAUGAUGAGGUUGAACCUCAAUAUGGAGAAAAACUAGUAGAUAAUUUGUGAAUGAAGAAUGUGAAGAAGAAGAAACUUGGCCACAAGAUGGUGAAUAUCAAAUUCCUAAUUAUAUGGUAAGAAGAGUUAUGGUGAGAAAGUCAAUUGAAGAGCCGAGCCAAAGAGAAAACUUUUUUCAUACCAAAUGUCUCAUCAAAGGUGGAGUAUGUACUAUGGUGAUUGAUAUUGGAAGUUGUACCAAUGUAGCAACUGCUACCGUGGUAGACUUCUUGAAACUUUCUACUACUCCACAUGAACAUCCCUACAAGCUACAAUGGUUGAAUAAAUAUGGGAAAUUAAAGAUGACUAGACAAUGCUUUAUUUGGUUUCAAGUGGGGAAUUCCAAGAUGAAGUAUUAUGUGAUGUGAUCCUGAUGCAAGUAUGUCAUUUAAUAUUGGGUAGACCUUGGUAAUUUGACAAGUCUACCAAACAUGAUGGAAGGACUAACAAGUAUUCACUUGAGCAUGGUGGUCAAAAAUUCACUCUUCUUACACUUUAACCAUCUCAAGUGAGUGAAUUGCAUCAAACAUUGAGAGAAUGAAAAGAAAGGGGAAAAAGGAGGUUGAACACGAGGGUAACACAAGUGAGGCAACCGCGGUUUCUCCUAAAACAAAAGGUAAAGGGUCUAUGGUAAUGUUGGAUAGGAGGAAGGACUUGUUAAAGGAAAAAGACCUUGACAUUCUUAUGCUUCUACUAGUUCAUGUUCUUAACGCUAACCCUUCUGCUUCUUCUUCUAUUCUCUUGUUUUGCCGUAAGGGUUACCCUUAAUUCGAGGCAUUGAGCAUCAAAUUGACUUUGUGUUAGGUUCAUAAUUACCUAAUAAAGCAGCAUAUAUAAGUAAUCCAAUGGACACUAAAGAACUUCAAAGUCAAGUGGAGGAUCUUCUUAGAAAAGGAUACAUCAAAGAAAGCAUGAGUUCGUAUGUGGUACCGAUCUUGUUAGUGCCACAAAAAAAGGGACUUGGAGAAUGUGUAUGGACUGCCGGGCCAUCAAUAAGAUCAUGGUGAAGUAUCAUCAUCCUAUCCCUAGGUAAGAUGAUAUUCUUGAUAAUAAAUGGAUUUUGUGUGUUUUCUAAAGUUAAUCUUAGGAGUGUCUAUCACCAAAUUUGAAUGCAACCCGGUGAUGAAUGGAAGACCAUAUUCAAGACCAAGUAUGGUCUAUAUGAAUCGUUGGUCAUGCCAUUUGGCCUUAUAAAUGCUCCUAGUACUUUCAUGAGCCUAAUUAAUCAUGUGAUAAAGCCUUUCAUUGGAAAGUUUGUGGUUGUGUACUUUGAUGAUGUCUUAGUUUAUAGCAAAUCUCUUGAAGAACAAGUGGUGCAUUUACAAUGUGUGUUUGAUGUCCUCUAAAAGGAGAGGUAAUAUGAUAAUAUGGAGAAAUGUUAUUUUGGUGUUAAAAAGGUGGUAUUCUUGGUAUUUGUUGUUAUCUCAAGGGAUGUAGAAGUGGACGAGUCCAAGAUAGACUCUAUAUGAAGUUGGCCGACCUCAAAACCUAUUGGAAAAAUUUGAAGUUUCCAUGGUUUGGAAAGCUUUUAUAGGAGGUUUGUCAAGGUAUUUAGUACCAUAGAAGCCCCCUUAACCGAAAUUAUGAGAAACUAAUAACCUUUUAAGUGGGGUGAUGAUCAAGCUAAGGCUUUUGAGACCUUAAAAGCUUUGCUCAUCUUGGCUCCUUUAUCGUAAUUGCCUGUUUUUGACAAAAUAUUUGAAGUAGAAUGUGAUGCUAUAAAAGUGGGUAUUGGGUAUAUUUUGAUGAAAGAACAAAUACCCAUAGCUUACUUUAGUGAAAAGCUCAAAGGAGCAACUCUAAACUAUUCCACUUAUGAUUUAGAGUUGUAUGCCUUGGGCAAUUGGCAACAUUACUUGUGGCCUAAGGAGUUUGUGAUAUGAAAGGAUCAUGAAUUUUUGAAACACCUUAAGGCCUAAGACAAUUUGAAUAAGCACCAUUAUAAGUGGAUUGAAUUCCUAGAGACUUUCCCUUAUUUAAUCCAAAACAAAAAGGGGAAGGAAAAUGUAGUUGCCGAUGCAUUAUCUAGGAAGCAUGUGAUUGUUUCUAGUUUGUCUUCCAGGUUUAUGGGAUUUGAGAGCUUGUUUAUAUUUUAUCCUGAGGAUCCUAGCUUUGCUCCUAUUUAUAGGGAAUGUGAAGAGUGGGGAAGGAAAAUAUGGCUCAAGAAAAAUGGUCACUCCUCCUACACUCGGUUUGAUGGAUACUUGUUCAAGGGAAGGAGAUUGUGUGUUACUUCUAGUUCAUGGAGAGUUUUUUGUUAUAAAGGCACAUGAUGGUAGCCUCAUGGGACAUUUUGGGGUUGAAAAGACCCUCGGUAUCUUAGAGAAGCAAUUUUAUUGGCCAAAAUGCAUAAAGAUGUUACUAAGGCUUAUGGCUAACGUAUGGAUUAUCGGAGUACAAAAUCUUGCCUCCUUCCUCAAGGGUUGUAUACCCCGCUUCCCAUCCCCUUAUACCUUGGCUUGACAUUUCCAUGGACUUUAUUUUAUGGUUUCCAAGGAUAAGGAGAGGUAGGGAUAGCAUCUUUGUAGCUAUUAAUAGGUUCUCAAAAAUAGCCCAUUUUAUCCCUUGUUCUAAAUACGAGGAUGCCCCUAGUGUAGCUUCUUUAUUUGUAGAACAUGUUGUCAAGCUACAUGGGAUUCCAAGAACGAUUUUGAGUGAUGGGGACUCAAUGUUCCUAAUUCUUUUUUGGAAGUCAAUGUGGGGUAGGCUUGGUACGAAGUUGCUAUUCUCAACCUCUUUCCACCCAUAAACUGAUGGUUAAAUGGAAGUAGUGAAUAGGACCUUAGGUUCUAUGCUACAUUCCAUGGUUAAAGGUAAAAUGGCUUCAUGGGAAGAUCAUCUACGGUUAUUCACUCAAGCACGAGUGUAACUCCCUUUGAGUAUGUUUAUGGUAUGAUUCCCCUUACCUCCUUUGAUCUCACUCCUUUGUCUAGUGAUCUUAUGAUAAGUAUAGAUGGAAAAAAUUUAUCCAAAUCUAUGAAAAGGAUGCAUGAGAAGGUGAGAAUCCGACUUGAAAAUAGGAAUCAAGAAGUUGCAAAAAAAGCAAACAAAGAGAGAAGAAGACUUGUGCUUAAACCCGAAGAUUGGGUAUGAGUUCACCUAAGGAAGGAGCAGUUUCCGAAUCAAAAGAAGGCUAAUAUUAUUCCAUGGGGAUAUGAACCAUUUCAAGUACUUGAAAUAAUCAAUGACAAUGCAUACAAGGUUGAUCUAUCACCGGAUUACCAAGUACAUUCCACUUUCAAUGUUUAUGAUCUUUCACCCAUGGAAACUCUUGAUAUUGAGGAAUCCGUGAGUAUGAGUUCAAACUCUCUUUAAUAUGAAUAGUAUGAUAAAAUUAUCUCUCCCUUAAGGCCUUUCACCCGAAGCCAAGUUAAGGAGUUACAAUAUUUUCAAGCCUUGUUCAUGCAAAUGUGAGCCUAUGAGAGCAUGGUGCCUUCAAACAAGGGAGUAUACUUGCUUAAAUGAGAAGAUGAGGAGCCUUUAAAGACUUUUAUUUCCUACAUUACAUGGGCGCCUCAACUAAGGGCAUGGAGAUAUUUUUUUAUCUUUCUUUUUACGCUCCAAAGGAGCACCCUUCAUUAAGGGUAUUUUAGUCAAUAUCUUGUAAUCAUAUAAAUUGACAUUUUAGCUCUUAUUUUCAUUAGUUUUUGAUGAAUUGUUGAGCGAUACUACCAUAUUGUAGUUGUAGGUCUUGUAAAAGACAUUGAAACUAGGGUUAACCUUGUGUUGACAUUUUGGCAAGAAAGGUGAGUGCUUGAGGACAUUGAUCCCUUUCUGUGAACCUAAGAGUGGCGUGUUAUCCAUCAUUAGUGUUGUAUGUCUUGGUUUUUGAUACAUACCUUAGUGCUAUUCAUUAGUGUUGGUGUAUGUCUCAUUACUAUCUUUUCAUCUUAAUGCAAUUUCUCUUCCUUUUGUGUUAAAUCCAAUUGUUGCUUGUGUGUUCUACUUUAUCUCAUUUCUUGUAGUUGCUGGUUUUUGUCACUUUUAGGCUUUAAUUUCAUUUUAGUAGCUUAGUCUAUUAUCACUACUAUUGUAUUAGUUCCCACAUCCCUCUUUCAAGGAUGAUGAGGCUUCCUAAAGUUCACCAAAACCCCUCUUUAAAGGAUGGUUUAGGCUUUCAAGAACUUUGGGUUUUCACUCAGAAACCCAUUUUGGGUAUUUAGAACUUUAACCCAUAAAUCCCAAUCAAUUUACUCAAGCAAUAGUAGAACCCAACACCAACACAUUAGCAUAUACACAAAUGAAUCACAUCGCACACAUAAAUGCACCCUAUUCUAACAUAAUACCAAGAGGAAGAACUAGCUACUCUUAAUAAGAAGAAGAAUAUAAACCAAAAUAUCCAUUAAAUUAAUUCAUUAAAAAUAAAGAUAAUGUAAACUAUACUUUAAGUUUCAAUGAAUCCUCAAUGGGAUUUGUCAAUUCUCCACUUAAAAGUCACUCUAAUGUUUUCCUAGUUUAAGAUUAUUACAAAUUUAGCUCCAAGCUCCAAGAAAUUACAAGAACCCUAAACUAAGGAUGCGAGCUAGGGUUGUAGAGUGAUGAUUCUUAGAUAUGAAUGGUUUUUAAGCCUUAAAUAGGAUGUUGGGGUCGGUGUGCCCAAAUAACAUGGUUACCCUUGGUCAUAAUCCCGCUAGUCUAUGAUCACGUAGCUUUUGUGUGAUCAUGUUAACUGCGAAAGAUUUAAGACCACGAUCGCGGUUGUGGACCAUCUUGACUGGCUGUAAUCAUAGCCCUCAGGCUGCAAUCGUAGCCCUUAGGCUGCGACCGUGGUAACUGAGGCAUGUUUCUGCUCCAGGUCUACUAGCUACACUUCUUCUCUGCAUUCUUUAGAUAUUAUUCAAGAAGUAGUGUAGUAAUGUAUGUUCAUGGUAGGGAAGGAUAUUAUUUAGGAACAACAUGGAUAAACCGUCCUUUAUCAUCUAUAUCACACUAUUUCAUCCAACUUUUGAUCAUGGGCCACUUCUUUUGUUUUCACUCUUUGAAAUAUAUGCCUACUUUUACUACCUUGAUUCACCCAUCUUUUGGAAAGCAUAUUCUUUUCAUCUUUUUUCCUUGUGCAUUUCAUGAUUUACUUUCUUUUCUUGGGUCCGUUCUUUUUCCUAUUUAUUUGUUCUUAGAAUUUAGCUCUUAGGCACUAACUUAAAUUCUUGUGGCCCGAAGUUACCUCUUCCAAUCUUAACCACCCCCAACUUAAGUUUUUAGCCUUAAUUUGCAUUUUUAAGUCCAAGGAAGAUAGGGUUCGAAAGAUGGAUAAUCAUUGAAAGGAUCACGACAUGUAAUGUGUUUCUAAAAGAAAGGUCUAACGGCUCAAAAUGGGUUACUAGGGGUAACAUCUAUGUAUGGUAGGCUUUUUAGGCUAAAGUGGACUUCUAAUGUUGAAAAGAUGGCCUAAGAACAUAACCCCAACCAAGUACAAUCAAAAUUAUCCUUGAGAGACUAAUGGGGAAAUUUCCAGAUGGUACAAGUACGAAUGAGAUUUAGACAAAUAAGCUCACCACACAUGUCUUGCAAAUUCACCAAGGAGGAUCAAUUGCCCCUCCCGCUAGAGAUCAAAAUGGAGUAUCUGCCAAUUUUCACAAGUCAAAAAUUUGGAGUCACAAAAAGAGAAAAAGAAUUGUUACAAUGUCUCUUAUGUCCAUUUCCUUGAUUUGAUUUUUUUUUUGAAAAUUUUUGGAUGGAGGGGGGUGUUUUCUUUGCAUUUUCACCAUGCACAAUUUGCUAACCAUGGCAACAACCCAAGCCUUGAUCUAACAUUUUGGAUUCAUAUGGGCAAAUAAACCAUAUGGAUACUCAGACUUCGCCAAUGGUAUGAGUGUAAUCCUAAAUCCCUAAUGCCACGAGUACUUAGAAUUCCCUUGUUUUUAUAGCCUCGGUGCUACAAGUACUCAGACUUUUCCUGAAUCUGUGGCUCAAAACCCAAUCACGACGAGUUUUCUUUAAGAAUGUUAUCAUUUGCAUUUAUCAUAGGGAAAGUCUCACCCAACAUCAUUAUUAAAAGAAAUACACAACUAAUAAUGAAAAAAAUCAAUUCACAAAUUUUUUCAUGCUUCAUAUGUACCAAUUCCAAGUAUUGCAAGCCAACAUGCACUCACACAAGGAUAGGGCCACACACACCCCCAACAAAAAGACUUGUAGUGACCUCACUACAUAAUACAAAAGCAUAAGAAAGGUCAAAGGGCUCCCUAAAAUCACAUUGAUAACCAUGUUGAAAGCUAUCAUAGUGGUGCAAUUGCGGUAUGGUUGGUACGAUCGUGGUUCCGUCAUCGCAGCCCUCAGUUUGCGAUUGUGGUAACUAAGUCCAUUUUCUCCUCUAUUUUGUCCUAUUUUUUCUAUUUUGGCUACACUUCUAAUCUUGAUUUAUCCCUAUUUAAGCUUCCAAUUUGUGCAAAGCCUACAAAGCAUCAAAAUUAUGUGACUUAUUCAAAAAUAAAUAAUGUAAACAUAAAAAUGAGGGGUUGCCUCCCACCAAGAACAUGGUUCAACAUCACGGUACGAAGCCUCAUUGAUCAUCAUUUAUUUUUUUCCACUUAGAGGAUUUGAAUCGGCGCCCCAACUUUCGAUCGAUACAUCUUCAUAGCACGUGGGGGAAAAGCGAAGGAGCAAUAACACGACUUAUAUCAUGCCACUUUGAAGACUUAAGUCUUUUACCCAACAUGGCAUCAAAAUUUUGACUGCUCUCAUUGGGUAUCAGCGAGAGCAUCAAAGAUCCAUUUGUUACACAUUGAAUCUUUCAUUUGUUGACCUUCAAGUGGUGGGCUUCCUUUUUCCCUUUAGGAAUGACAAACUCCAAAAUGUAGGGAUACAUCUCCUCAUCUCCAAACUUUAUCAUUUGCUUGGAUGGUUCGACUUUCAUCACAUCCACCAAGCAUAAUAUUAAAAAAUGGUUUGAGUGAGGUUUUUUUCCUAAUUUUGGAGUCACAUCUUUCUUGACAUUCUCACUCUGAAAUGGACUAGAUCCUUCACAAAGGAUAUGCAUACUUUUUUUUUACUCUAGUACUGUUUUCUUAAUUUCAGAAUCUUCAACCAUAUUAGAUUCGGUUGGUUGAGAAAUCAUCAAGGAUUGUUUCAUGUCAAGCUCAUUUAGAAGAGCGGGUAUACUCUUAGCAUUUGAAAGAUUAGCUUUAUUACCCAUCUCUUCCAUCCUUUUUAUUUUCUUAUUACAUGCCUUCAUGAAUUAAUGCAUGAGAUGUAUGUUAUCCCCUAUUGUAUUCACCCAGUCCAAGAUAUGUUGAAGCAUUUUUUAAAAAAUAUUGGACUAGGAUUAUUUUUCUUCCUUUAUUGAAUCAUGAUACCUGUCAAACUCAUAAGAAGAACUAGCAAUUGGGUUAGAGUACAGGGGGAUGUUGCAUUUGAACAAUCACUCCAACGUCUAUCUCAACCACCAUAUAGAGAACAACCAUACUCCCUAUAAGAUCAAGAUGGUGCACACAUCUAUAUUUGGGGAACAUAUCUAUAAUUUUGCCAAAAGUAGGGUCCACCAUAAUAUGGACAUGGAUCAACAAGAUAAGAUUGCCAACCACCAAACUCAUAUUCAUUUGAAGAUGCCACAAUAAUAAUUAAUUAGAAAUAAAAAUCUAUCCAACACAAUAAGGAAAAGAAAAUUACAAAAAAAUAUUUAUAAGUUUGAACAAAAGAAAGUAAGCUAAAAUUUCAAACUAACUCAAUACGCUAAAUUAUUCCCCAGUAACGAUGCCAUUUUUAAUAACGCUCAACUUACACGUCAAUUAAAGUGCAAGGCGGUCAUUGUCAAUGUGUUUAUACAACUAGAAGUAGGGGUUGAAUCCAUAAGGAACAAUGUGAAUGGUUAUUGCGUAAGUCCAAAAUAGUAGUUGCUUUCUAUGGUAAAAUCUAUGGUACAAAAUAGUUUAGGGGGUUUUCAAUAUUGUUGAAUAUAGAGACAAUUCUUGGGCUUCUAAGGGAAUAAUUCGAUACUAAUAAUAUUUAGACUAUAAUCAUAUAAAAUAGAUCUUAGGACUAUGCUUUCCUAGGGGAAAGUUAUGCAUGGGAUUAUGAUAAUUCGAUUCAAAUUCUAACCGCUGAUGAUAUGGUAGGCUAGGUCUAAAUUCCUUGAGAUUAGAUCUUCAACAAAACCUCUAAGAUGCCACUCAUUAACUCUUUCAAGUACCUAACGAGGGUGUCAAUUAAAGCCACCCAAUACCUUAAUUAGUCACCACUAUUUAAAGGAUGGUACCAAAGAAAUAUUCAACCUUAUAUUCACCCUUAUAUCUAUGAUGGUGAAAAAUAGCAAACUAAGCCUAAUAAUUAUCUACUAUUGCUUUGGGUCCCACAUCCCUCUUUCAAGGAUGAUGAGGUAUAAUAUCCUAUAUUUCUCAAGAUUAACUUAACCCUUAGUUCAUGAGUUAUCUAAUACACGGUAUUUUUUAGUUUAGAUUCUGCCAUUGCGUAGAAAAUUUAAUUAGCUUUCCAACAAUAUAAAAUUCACCUAAAUCCUAUAACCAGGUAAGAGUUAUGGCUAUUUCAAGUUUUAGUCAUUGAACACCAUCAUUCUGGCCAGUAGUACGUCGCGGAGUAUGACAAAAUGACAAUUGUCAGUUUCUAGUAUUGCUCUACGAUAUUGGCGCAUCGCGCCAACGUGCAUUUUCACUUUUGUCACUUUCUAGUGUAUUAACACGAUCCCACCGCAUCGCAAUGAGUCCAGAUUUUAUAUUAAGGAGAUGGGCAUAUCCAGGCUCAUGGUCCAUGCUCAGUAGAUAGAAGAGGCUAAUGUCAGAGAGAGAGAGGCAGAACAAAAGAUCUAGAAUAGGUAGCUUCAAUUUUAAUCCGCCUAAGUCAGAGGGCGGUAACCAUUCCCAGUUUUGUCCAAAGUCUUUGGUUCCAGCUCCGUCCUCAGUCAGUGCUCUAGUACCUAAGUUUAGAAAUAGUAAUAAUGAUAGGGCACCAGGCUCUAAGUCUCAGGGUAGUAUCAGUAGUGUUAGAACAAAUCCUCUAUGUCAGCAACAUGGCAAGAACCACAAGGGUGUCUGCAGAGCUGGCAGUGAUGUUUGUUUCAGGUAUGGAAAGCCUGGCCACAGAGUCAGAGAUUUUCCUUAGUCAGGUUCUCAGGGUCAGCAUACUCAUUCUUCAGCUCAUUCAGGUAACCCGAAUUAGCAAGGUGCCGCUUCCAGUGACACUAGUGGGCAACACCCAAAUAGGCUUUAUGCACUUUAGCCUAGACAAGAUUAGGAAAAUUAUCUUGAUGUGGUCACUGGUACAUUACAGAUCCUUCAUUUAUAUAUUUAUGCCUUGCUUGAUCCAGGAGCUUCUUUAUCUUCCAUAACUCCCUAUAUAGUCAUUAACUUCGGAUUCAGUCUAGAAAUCUUAGCAGAGCCUUUCUCGGUUUCUACCCCAGUGGGUAAAUCUAUCAUAGCCCGAUGGGUAUACAGGAACUAUCUGGUUAUGAUAUCUCAUGAAGUUACUUCAACAGACCUUGUAGAGCUAGAGAUGGCAGAUUUUGAUUUCAUUCUCAACAUAGAUUGGCUCCACUCAUGUUAUGCCUCAGUUGAUUGUAGAAACUAGUUCAUUUUCAGUUUCCAAAUGAACCAGUCCUUGAAUGGAGAGGUAGUACCACAGUGCUUAAGGUUCAGUUGAUUUCAUACCUUAGAGCAAGAAAUAUGAUAUCCAAGAGAUGUGUCUACCACCUUGUGCAAGUCAAAGACUCUAAUUCAGAAGCUCCAACUCUUGAGUUAGUUUCGGUAGUAAAUAAUUUCUCAGAUGAGUUUCCAAAAGAUCUUCCUAGAGUUCCUUCCUUUAGGGAAAUAGACUUCAGAAUAGACCUUCUCCCAGAUACUCAGCCCAUAUCGAUUCUGCCAUAUAGGAUGGAACCAGCAAAACUCAGAGAAUUAAAAGAAAAGUUGAAGUAUCUCCUAGAUAAGGGAUUCAUCAAACACAGCAAUUCCCCAUGGGGCACACCAGUUCUAUUCAUUCAUAAGAAAGACGGUUCUCUCAGAAUAUGUAUUGACUACCACUAGUUGAACAAAGUCCCAGUCAAGAAUACGUUUCCUCUUCUAAGAAUCGAUGAUUUGUUUGACCAACUUCAGGGAGCCAGUUACUUUUCUAAGAUAGACCUCAGAUCAGGCUAUCAUCAGCUUAGAGUCUGAGAAUGUGACAUUAUAAAAAUAGCUUUCCAAACCCGGUAUGGUCACUUCAAGUUUCUAGUCAUGUACUUUGGUCUUACCAAUGCCCCAGUAGCUUUUAUAGACUUAAUGAAUCACGUGUUCAAGCAGUACUUGGAUAUGUUUGUUAUAGUCUUCAUCGACGACAUUCUUGUUUAUUCCUGUAGUGAGAAUGAUCACACAUAUCACCUUAGAAUAGUACUUCAGACUAUCAAAACUCAUCAGCUAUUCGCUAAAUUCAAUAAGUUAAAAUUUUGGCUAAGGUCAGUAACGUUACUUGGUCAUAUUAUUUUCAGUGAUGGCAUUAGAGUUGAUCCUUAAAAGACCAAAGAAGUGAGAAACUGGCCUAGACCUAUCUCUCCAUCAGAUAUCAGGAGCUUCUUGGGUUUAGAGAGUUAUUACUGUCGAUUUGUUCAAGGGCUUUUGUCUAUUACAUCCUGUAAUAACCCGAAAUCACCCCUCGGGAUACUACUGGUGCCUAGGGUCAUAAGUGACCCCAAGCUAACCCUUCACUUGGCAUUACACAUAAAUAACUAAAUCAAAUGCAUAAAACCAAAAGAAUAAGGCGGAAUAUAACUCUAAUAUGAAUUUGCUCAAUACCAAAACUGGAGUCACAAGGUUACAAGUCAACAUUUUACAACAAAAUCAAAACCCAAUACAUCAACUUCUACCCACUAUCUAUGAAGCCUCUACUAGUACUGACCAUGGGUAGUUGAGUCAUAACUCCCAAGCACCCUGACUCAAUAUGACUGAAAAAGAAAAUACCACUCAUCUCAACUAUAUCACUGACUCGAGCCCUUGAAUCAAAAGGACUCGUCACCUGCCAACUGAAAGCUAUAAACUGAUUGAACAUGGUACAUAUGCUAUAAUUUGUACCUAUAUUAUAAGACAAUGUAGCACAUAGACGUAUAUAUGGAUCAGCACUUGGGAAUGUACUAAGUAUAUGGGGGUUAAUGCACAUGUAUAAAACAGUAACAACCUUCUUCAGUCAAAUCAUGGAUGCAAUAUGGGAUGACUCACAUAGCUUGAACAAGUAUCAAAUGUAAAUCUCAUAAAUCAUGUAGGAUGAGGCAUACAACACAAAUCUCGUGAGUCAUCAUUCAUACUCUUGCCAGGGAGUAUAACCUAGGUCUAGUGAUCACUAAAUGAAAUUCUGCCUUGGGCCCAAUCAUAAUCAUCAUAAUCUCAGCCUCAGGCCCAACUUACGUUGGCAUGUAGUUUUGGGGUAAGAAAUCGUAGUGACUUACCUGCUCAGUGCUAAAUACUACUCCCUUUAGAUUAUAUGCACUCAUCUCAUAAAAAUCCACUUUUAGAAUAAUCUCAUGGUUCACCACAAACCCAAUAAUCAAAUCAAUAAUCUCAUAUAGUGAAGUGAAUUUCAAAGCUCUCGGACCAUUAUGUCAAUUCAUUUUUCAAUCAUCUCAAAAUACUCAAAUCAUGAGUGCUUGUAGCACAAGAGUUCACAAAUUCACAAGUCCCAAAUAGGGCUUACUAAACCAUAGUUCAAUCUCAAGUUAAAGCUCAUCAAAAGCAUAAUAUAUAACAUAUAGAUUCAUAAAUUAGAUGGAAAUCUUGGAAUUUUAGAAAUUUAUCUCAAAAUCUCAAUAUACUCAUAUGCUUCAAUAUCUCAAACAUUGCAAAUAUUAGCUUUUUAAGAAGUAAAAUCAUAGGGUUUAUACCCAGCUAUAAAUUCUCAAUAAAACAUGCAAAAAUCAUGCCAUUUGACUCUUAAUUCAUGGGAAAUAUCAAGAUAAUGCAUUCAAUAAUAAUGGGUGAAAACCCCUAAUUCAAAUUCAUGUAAAACCUCAUAGAUUUUAGGAAAAUCAUGAUGUAAAUAAGCCUUUUGGCACAAGGGUGAAAGGGUUACCCUUGUACAAAACCCCACAUACCUUAGAUAUGACAUUGGAUGAAUAAGCUUUCUCUAAACUCUUCUUCUUAUCCUUGAAAAAAAGGGUUUUUGCCACACUUGACUUAGUGAGCUUGAAUCUCAACUCAAUUUGAAGAAUCCAUGGUGAGUUCUUAGAUCCCUUGGAGAAGAAUUUUGUUUUGAUUUGAUUUGGAGGAGAAAAACCUAGCUUAUUAGUACUAGAGAUGGGAAAACGAGGUAGCUGCUUUGUAUAGAAUAUAUAGGAGGGUUUAAAAGAGGGGAAAAGACCGAAAUAUCCCUUCAAAAAUAGGUUAAAAAUACUGAAUGGAGGCUGCGAUGAUCGAAUCGACGUUCUGUCAAAAGUUCGACGAUCCGUCGGAUCGUCCAUCGCAAGCUGGCCAAAAAAAAGGACAUACUUCCUCGCUGUAAUAGUCUCAAUGAUGGUCCAUCAAAUUUUGGUGGUCUACUAUUUUGGCCAUUGCACGAUGGCCAGAAUGAGGCCACACUGCCUCAGAGCGACGGUCAAAGUGAUGGUCCAUUGAAAAGUUGGUGGUCCAUCAUUUUGGCCAUUGUAUGAUGGCCAAAAAAAGGGGUCACUGCCUUGGUUUUGAUGGGACGAUUGACGGUCCGUCGCAGACUUGACAGCCCGUCAAACCUGGGUGAUUCCAAUAAUAUUCAGUAAAAUGACUAUAACUUCCUCGUUUGAUGUUAGAUUUUAACAAAAUUGGUAUCGUUGGAAAGAUAAAUCAUUGCUCUACAUUACAAAAAGUUGAUAUUAGGGAAAUUCCACAUAGUUGAAAAUAUUUCACACUUGGGAAGACACCUCUCAAACUUUUAAGGCUGGAUGACACUUUAGUCAACAUGCUCUAAGGCUCAAACUAUGAGGGAAUUUUGUUAGGUUUUACACAUCCCCCAUGUCUAUAUUGACUCAGAAAAAUUCUAAUUUUUGUGGUCAGAUUCCUGUGAGAAGAGUUUUUAGGAGUUAAAGACUCGACUCACAUCAACCCUAGUUUUGACUCUACCAGAUGGUUCAGAUGGGUUUGUUGUGUAUUGUAAUGCAUCUAGAGUAGGUUUGGAUUAUGUCCUCAUGCAUAGAGGUAAGGUCAUAGCCUAUGCCUCCAGACUGCUUAAGCCCCAUGAGAAGAAUUAUCCGACUCAUGAUCUUGAGCUAGCAGUUGUAGUGUUUUUCUUAAAGAUUUGAAAGCAUUACUUGUGUGGGGUACAUGUUGAUGUGUUCACAUAUCACAAAAUCCUUCAGUGUGUGUUUUCUCAGAAAGAUUAAAUUUGCAUCAGAGAAGAUGGUUAGAGUCAUUGAAAGACUAAGAUAUGAGUGUUUUGUGUCACCCAGGCAAGGCCAAUGUAGUGGCUGAUGCUCUCAGUAGACUGUCUAUAGGUUGUGUUGCUCAUGUGGAGGACAUUAAGAAGAAGUUAUCUUAGGAAGUCCAUCAGCUUGCCCGACUAGGUGACCGCUUAGUCGAUUCAGCAGAAAGUAAUGUGUGGGUUCAGAACAGUUCUGAAUUUUCUCUAGUUUCUGAGGAAAAGGAAAAUUAGGAUAGAGCUCCCACUCUUGUUAAGUUGAAAGAGUCGGUUAGAGAUAAAAAAAAUAGAGGUGUUCUCCCAAGGGGUAGAUAGUGUAUUACGUUGCUAGGGUCGGCUAUGUGCACCGGGCGUAGACGACUUGAGGCAAUGAAUUCUUGCAGAAACGUAUGGUGCAUGUUACUCUAUUCAUCCAGGGGACACUGAGAUGUAUCAUAAUUUAUGAGAGAUCUGUUGGUGAAGUAGGAUGAAGAGGGAUAUUGCAGAGUUUGUAGCUAAGUGCUCUAUAUGUUAGCAAGUUAAGAUUGAGCACCAGAAGCCUAGUGAGUCCAUAUAGGAGUUCUGUAUUCCCACGUGGAAGUGGGAAGAAGUGAACAUGGACUUUGUGAUGGGUUUUCCUCGUACUUAUCAUCAGCAUGAUUCUAUAUGGGUUAUCAUAGACAGGAUGACCAAAUCAGCUCAUUUGUUGCUAGUCCAUAUUUCCUAUUUGACCGAGGACUACACCAAACUCUAUAUUAGAGAAUUGGUCAACUUACACAGAGUUCCAGUAUCCAUUAUCUUAGAUAGAGGUACCCAGUUCACCUCUUAUUUCUGGAAAGCAUUCCAAAAGGGUCUUGGUAUCCAAGUUCACCUUAGUAUAGCCUUCUACCCUCAGACACAUGUUCAAGAAGAAAGGAUCGCUCAGACUCUAGAAGAUAUGGUAAGAGCCUGUAUUGUCGAUUUUAUGGGUAGUUGGGAUGACCACUUUUCUUUGAUCGAAUUCGCAUAUAAUAACAACUAUCAUUCCAGUAUUCAUAUGUCUCUAUUUUAGGCUCUCUAUGGUAGGAGAUACAGAUCUCUACUUGGUUGGUUCGAGGUAGGAAAGGCUGUAGUAGUAGGGCCUGAUCUAGUAUUUGAUGCCUUAGAGAAGGUUCAGUUAAUCAGAUAAAGACUUAGGGUUGCCCAAAGCUGAUUGAAAUCAUACGCAGAUGUGCGGAGAAAUGAUCUUGAGUUUGAGAUGAGUGAUUUUGUGUUCUUAAAAAUCUCUCCCAUGAAGAGGGUAACGAGGUUUGGUAUGAUGUGAAAGCUUGGUCCCUGAAAUGUCAGUCCUUACAGAAUUCUCAGCUGUUUUGGAAAGGUAGCUUAUAAGCUUGAGUUGCCUUCAUAUCUAGCCUCAGUGUAUCCAGUAUUCCACGUCUCCUUGAUAAAGAAAUGCAUUGGUGACCCAACAGUCGUAGUUCCUUUAGAGGAUGUAAAUAUUCAGAAUGAUCUUUCUUUCGAAGAGGUUCCAGUCCAAAUCCUCGAUCAUCAAAUUCCCAGACUAAGGAAUAAAGAAGUUCCCUUAGUCAAAGUUCUUUAGAGAAAUCAGUCCAUUGAGGGAGCUUCUUGGGAAGCAAAAGCAGAUAUGCGGACCAAGUAUUCUCACCUCUUCUUCACAAACUCAAAUCCAGCUUAAGGUAACAGUAUUCCUUAGCUUUACUUAGUUCCUUGUUCAGAUAUAAUUAUAAACUUGGUAUUCAUUAUUGUUGCAUAUUUAGUCAUGCAUUCAUGAAUCAGCUCAAUCAUGUACUCAUGCAUCACAUAUGCAUGUUCAGUAUGAAAACCCAGCUUAUCAGUAGCUUUAGUCAUGUAUACCAUUCAUCAGAUAUGCAUGUUCAGUGUGAAAGCUUGGUUUGUAAGUAGUUUAAUCAUGUAGUCAUGCAUCAGAUAUACAUGUUCAGGGUGUAAACUUAGUCUAUCAGUGUUUCAGCUUAAUCAGUUCAUUCGAGGAUGAAUGUUCCCAAGGGAGAGAUAUUACAAUACCCCAUAUUUCUCAAGCUUAACUUAAACCUUAGUUAAAGAGUUAUCUAAUAUAAAAUUUUUGAAAUAAUCAUUAUUUUUCAGUUUAGAGACUUCCAUUGUGUAGGAAAUUGAAUUAGCUUUCCAAUAAUAUAAAAUUUGCCUAAAUCCGAUAACAGAUAAGAAGUUAAGGCUAUUUUAAGUUUUAGCUGUUAAACACCGUCAUUCAGGUAAGUAGCACGUCACAGAGUAUAUCAAAAUGACAAAGGUCAAUUUCCAAUGUUGCUCUACGAUAUUGGUGCAUCGCGCCAAGGCUCAUUUUUACGUUUGACAGUUUUCAGUACAUCAACGUGAUCCCACCACGUCGCGAUGAGUCCAUAUUUCAAAACCAAAAGGGUGUUGUGAUCCCAUCUCAUCGCGCCAAGCCCUUAGUUCCCAGUUGUCAUUUUCCAAAGAAAAGACACGAUAGCGCCGCGUCGUUCCAGGGGUCCAGGUCGGGAAAAUUUCUCGAAAAUUAAAAAUGACGUACAUAGAUAAAUUGGUAUUUUCCCAUGAUUUUUUCAUGGAUAGAUACGGGAUUUAAUCUCUAAAUACAUUUUAAAGGUCAUUCUUAAUAGAUUUUCCCCCAAAUUAAAAGCAUUCUCUCUCAAGAAAAUAAACCCUAGCUCUAAGAAAUCAAGAUCAAUCUCAAAAAUUUAUCCAAGAAUCUUCAAGAACAAAUAUUCCAAGGAAUGUUAGGUAUUCAUCUAUGGGUCCCUUUCACCCAUAGAGUCAAUGAAUCCACUUCUAAAACUUCAAGAUCUGCUGUUCAGGAUUUACAUGCUUAAAAUUUGAUUGUAUUUGUGUUCUUGAUAUUAAAUGAGUUCCAAUUAAUGAUUAAUUGUAGAUUCCAUGAAGUUUGAAUAGCAUGUAAAUUGAAUUGUGAAAUUCCCAUGUCAUAAUCUAUGAAUUUGUAAGUUAGGGCAUUGUAAUUUGCUUGCUUAUGUUUUAACCAUGAUUAUAUGCAUUAAGUUGUGCUCUCUAGGUUUUUGAUAGAAUUUCCAUGUGAAUGAAUUAAUGAAAUCAUGGCAUGUUAGUAUAUGUAUAAGCUUAUGCCCUACAAGUGUUUGAGAAAAUGUCUCUAUGAAUGAUUAUGAUUUUCAAGAGUAUAUUAUGAUUUAUUUUUCAUGCUAUCGAGUCCUGGGGGUAUUUAAUACACAACAAUUUAGCUGUGUGCCUAGAACCAGUGUCAGUUAUAGAACCUCAGUCAUGUCACGAUUCAUAGUACUCUCAUAUAGUUACAAAACUCAGUAGAACUCAAUCAGUUACAGAACUCAAGAAAAUUCAGUAAACUCACUAUCAGUUCAAUACAAUCAGUUCAGUGUCUUUUAGUUGGGAGUAGGAUUCAGCACCAAGUGAGCCCAAGGAUGGGGACUAGCCUUCCAGUAGAGGGUGCGAUCUCUAGAAGCAAUUCUUGCAUUCCAGAACUACGUAGCCAGCGUAGGUUGAGACAUCAAACCUACCAAAUUAAGGGUUGAUGAGGUGUUUAACCUAAAAGAUGAGGGUUCCACCAUUCUCAUUAGAGUACCUACUAAAUGAGGGUAACUCUUUAGUGUCCUUACCCAUUGUACUGUACUAACACCCUUCCACCUGGGGUCACAGUUUGGACCACCCUAACUUAGUUAUUUUAUCUUAUUAGGGGCAUGUCGGUUAGAUGAUUAUCUCCUACAGUCUUAGUUUGAGUCUUCAGAAUAGAACUCAUUUUAAUUUUACAGAAUCAGGACUGUCAGAUAUAGUUAACCAGUAUCAGUAAAUCAGUUAUCAAUAAUUUCAGAUAUCAGUUACUCAGUAUCAAAAUUUAGGACUUAGAUUUAGAUAAUCUUAGUCACAGUAUUUAUCUAUAUGCAUAUUAGUGAACACUCAUUAUUUACAGUAGUAUCAGUUAUCCAUGUACUCUCAUGUUCAGUUACUCUAUAUCAUGCAGUCAAUUAUUGUUCAGGCAUAUGAACCCUUGCAUUUAGUCUUACCCCAUCUAGCAUGCCAGUACAUUCCACGUACUGACAUAUACUCUAUCUUUGUGUUAUGAUGUCUUAUAUCAUAGGUUCGGAUGCUCAAGUUCCCAAGCGCGCAUAGAUAGAUUCAGAUUCAGCCAACAGUAGUAGAUUAGAAGUGAGCCCUCAUCAUUCAAGGAUAUUCUUUUAUUUCAUUAUUUUAGUAGACUCAAUAUUUUAGUAUAUGGAGUUAGUUGGGGGAUUGUCCCAUCAACUCCAGAUUCAGAUAGUUCAGUUUAGAGGCUUUUCAAACUAGUUUUCAGAUAGUAUUCAUUUUUACAAUUUUUUAUUACAGUUUGAUAUUUCAGUAGUAUUUCAAAUAUUUGAACCUUAUGGCAUUUUAGCCUA
This 26476-nucleotide long non-coding RNA is filed under the name Capsicum annuum. RNAcentral's name for it is "long non-coding RNA (CANN_LNC001084)". The record is from RNAcentral. Lineage: Eukaryota; Viridiplantae; Streptophyta; Magnoliopsida; Solanales; Solanaceae.